This 484-nucleotide ribosomal RNA is filed under the name uncultured bacterium. Its description in RNAcentral is "bacterial SSU rRNA". It matches the Rfam family "Bacterial small subunit ribosomal RNA", at positions 8 to 526 of the family's 1533-position model. The record is from RNAcentral.
AGAGUUUGAUCAUGGCUCAGAAUCAACGCUGGCGGCGUGCCUAACACAUGCAAGUCGAACGAGAAAGUCCGCAAGGAUGAGUACAGUGGCGACCGGGUGAGUAACACGUGACUAACCUACCUCUUAGUGGGGAAUAACUCCGGGAAACCGGAGCUAAUACCGCAUAACAUCGCAAGAUCAAAGCCGAAAGGCGCUGGGAGAGGGGGUCGCGGCUGAUUAGCUAGUUGGUAGGGUAACGGCCUACCAAGGCGAAGAUCGGUAUCCGGCCUGAGAGGGCGCACGGACACACUGGAACUGAAACACGGUCCAGACUCCUACGGGGGGCAGCAGUGGGGAAUUUUGCGCAAUGGGGGAAACCCUGACGCAGCAACGCCGCGUGGAGGAUGAAGUCCCUUGGGAUGUAAACUCCUUUCGACCCGGACGAUACUGACGGUACGGGUGGAAGAAGCACCGGCUAACUCUGUGCCAGCAGCCGCGGUAAUUC